CACGCAGCUAAAUUGAGGGGCUUGCUUGUUUGUUCUUCACGAUCCCUGUAAAGAGAAACAUUUUAGGUUGGAGGGAGCUGGAAGGGAAGGCUGGAGGCAGCCUGGGAGGCUCUCCUUCGAGGCAGAUCUCCUCCCUGCUGGCUGACCUGGGUCAGGAUUUUCCCCUGGGCAGCCCUGUCUGGCCGUUCCCAUCAGGGAGGAUGGCCAGCACCGGCUGGAGGGCUGUGCUGGAGGGGGCACUCGGGACAAGGGGCUUGCUGUGCAGCUUCGUGCGCCACAGUGAAGCUGGAGCGGGUGCCACACAGCUGAAUCAGGGGCUGUGCCUGUGGCUUUAACUUCAUUUUCUGCUGCAGGCCUCCUGGUAUGUAAGAAAGCAAAUUCAAGCAUGCCGCUAUGUUCACCGAGGCAGCAAACUUGGGGGGGGGAGGGAGGUGGAGAAAAUUCCCCUCCUUCUGCAGUUCAUGGUGUUCUUCUAAACUAUUUAUAAAUAGGUCUACUGUAGCCAGUGUUUGCAUUUGGACUGCUUCACUGUUCUCGUUUUCAAGGCUUCUCUUAGAUCUGACAGUAAAGGUCAGGUUGACUCCCCUCAUCUGAAAUGAAGAGGGGAAGAAAAUUAACCCUGUAGUCAGGUGGCUCAAAGGCAGUAAUUCCCAUCAACGUGAGCAAGUUCUCCGUUGUGCGUGGCUGGGGCAGAGCGCCGGACCCACUCUCCCUUUUGCUCCAUUUUCGUUUCCCUGCCCUCUUCAUUAGCUGCUGACAGUUUUAGCUUCCUACGUCCAUUUAAAGAGAUUCCCCCCGCACAUCAUCUGGGAUUCAUGAACUGCAGAGAUCUGGCUAUUUUCAACUUUAAGCCACAGUUAAUCCAUGACCUUAGUGCUUUUGUCUCCAGGUCUGAAUUAUGAUUCCUGCCAAGUGGACACAAAGACAACUGAAGCAGGAAUGUACCCCGUACUCUGCAGUGCCCACUGCAAUGGCAGGACUCAGAUACCUCUUUUCUUGGAGCAGCUCAGCAGAAGAACACAAAGAUGUCACUUCUGGCAUGGAUCACCCAGCGGCGCAUCCCUGGAAGAUGGACUGGUGCUCAGGUGCUGAGGUUUCAGGUCAGACAGAACCCAUGGGGAUGCUUCUUAAUGCACCAGCCUGGCUCCAUCCAGCUUGCCAGCACCAAAAGGAGGCAUCCGACCCCCACAAGGCACAGGCAACUCCACUGCUUGUCCUGCUCCUGCUGACUUCUUCGCUGACCGGCAGCAGCCUGGUGUUGCUCAAUGCUCCCUGUACGUGUCUGUGCCCACCUGAGUGCAGGAUACGGCCUCCCCCUGCCCGUCACAACCGGGGCCAUCACCCAUGCUCAAUCACACCACAUCCCUCCGCAUGUGAAGCCUGCAAGUUUUGGGGCAUGUGUAGAAAUGGUGAGAAGGUGGUGGAACACCAUCAGGGGUUCGGUCACACGUGGUGUGCUCCCAGCAGACCAGCACAACAGCUCAGGGAGCAGAUACUGCAACGUGUUAAGUCAUUUAUUUGAUGAUGAGGCAGAGAAAGCCAAGAGGACUAGCCUAGAGGAAAGCCUCAUUGCUAUGUGGUGAUGUUUCAAAAUUCCCCUUUUUGUUCUUCCAGCAGCCCAAGUACCUCGUUGGCUUUUCAGACGUGAUCAGAACACUGCUCAGCAUGGGAAGGGUGGGGAUGCCACACUUUCAUGAUGAGCCAGGAGAGGCCACGCUAGCCAGGGUUUGCACGGUAGCCCCAGCAGGCUUUGCAGAUGGAAGCUGUUUUAGGAUAAUUUGGUGUCUUUCUAUUCUGCAGAUUUCUUAACGUGUGUGUGUGAGCAGUUGGCUGCUGGGACAGGAAGAUGUGACUGUGCAGGCCCUUUGCAGCACUGAAAGCAAACCUGGUGCAGGUUUGUUCACGAGCUGGUGAGUGUUGAAGAUCCACCCAUGCUUGGUUAUCCUGAAGAGCUGCUCCUGGCUGCAGGUGACACCUACCAGGAGAGGCACUUCCCCAUUCCUCCAUACCCGUGGCAGACACCUCUGCUCCCUAGAGGCUGUGACCAUCAUGCAGCCACAGCUGUCCCCUCAUCAAUCCUAAAGGUGGAUGCAGUGAGACCCAGCACCAUCAGAGCUGACCGCACACGAGGCAACUCAUGUCUGGAAGCAGUCAGGCUCUGCUGAGCACCAGAAGGCACAUGGGUGAGUUACCUUAUAAGCAGCCUAGACUUAAAUUAAACAUGGUUUAUAAGUAGAGGCAUAACGGAGGCAUAUUGGGAGGUUAUGUGCCAUUAUAGGGUGCUUGGGAUGUGCUCAUGUGGGUCUCCACCAAUGUGGAGAUCCUGUACUGUGCUCAGUUGUGGGGCUGCCAAGGAGCCCUCCUCGUCCAGCAGCUACAGACGAUGGCUUUGUGGGUGAUGAUCUGCUUACAUGGGCUUCUGCAUUCAUUGUAUAGAAUAAAUAAUUUACCACUAAUGUUUGGGAUUUGUAG
This 2472-nucleotide long non-coding RNA is filed under the name Anas platyrhynchos platyrhynchos (common mallard). RNAcentral's name for it is "lncRNA (ENSAPLG00000027274.1)". Lineage: Eukaryota; Metazoa; Chordata; Aves; Anseriformes; Anatidae. The record is from RNAcentral.